This is a long non-coding RNA of Esox lucius (northern pike), 1229 nucleotides long. RefSeq lists it as uncharacterized. Lineage: Eukaryota; Metazoa; Chordata; Actinopteri; Esociformes; Esocidae. The record is from RefSeq and is a predicted model, not a curated record. The transcript is spliced from 4 exons.
GAUAAUAUAAUGAUAUUCUACAGCUCUGCUCCUCAUGAUAUUCUAUAGCUCUGCUCCUCAUGUCCUGCCUCUCAACUGUGACAGAAUGACGGACUGAACCAGGAACAAGCAGAGCUGAACCAUGGGGGAGCUCCUCAACAGUAAGGAGGUUGUCACCGAUGAGGAUUACCUCCAUCGUCGUUUUUAGUCAGUGAACCCGAGCAGCACCGACGCCAGCAGGCACCAGAAUACAGGCACCAGAAGACUCCGUAUACAAUUUAUUUGGGGGGACCUUCGGGGGGAUGGGAGGUGAAGGCCCUGCUGACAUUCAUGGGAGCUCAGGACAGAGCCCCUGCAGCCUUGGGAGCAGGAGUACCUUGAGAUGUCGGAUGAGGCAGACGAGAUAAUCCUCCCACCACACAACUGGGGGCUCUGGAGAGAGCCCCUGCAGCCUUGGGUGGAGGAAGUGGACUUCCGCUUCCUACGCUCGGGAAUCGGGUUCCACCGGUGCCGGCUCCAUGCAUCAGGGCGCCUGCGCUGGUCCCCAACCUGGCGCUCACUGCACCUUUCCCCUGCCCUGAGCCCCUAGUGCCUGUCCCCCUCCCUGAAUCACCAGUCCCUCACCUGGAGGGUGAGACGACGAGCCCCUGCCAUCGCCACCUCCUCUCUCUGCUGCAGCACCCUGUCCAGUAAAAAUGUUGUUUGUGUCCCCUCUAACGGGGUUAGACACAUUGUCAAAUAACAGGAAUUUGGUUUAAAUGGAAAAAGCAAAUCUUGGUUGGACCUUGUGUGCAAAAUGGCAAAUAUCCUCUCACACUGUCCUUUACUAUGGGAUUGGUCAAACCAAAGGCCACUGAAUUUUUCUUAAUAGUAAUUAAAUUGUUCUGACAAGUGGACAUAUUUUACAUUACAAUGUAGACAAGCCAUAAUCCGACCCCAAACAUUGAGCUCCAAUCUCACCCAUACCUGGAAGAAAGGGAAUGAAACAUACAGGGGCAACCAGCAUAUACACUUCCAACCCUGACCAGCAGAGGGAGCUCUCAAUUUAACAUGCAGCGCAUCCUACAUAGUGAGAAAUCUACAGCAGUAAUACGUAGUACAAUCACAGAUUACAGUGAUUAUGUGGCUGGAGGUCCUCAAAGAGAGGUUUGCGAAAAACUGGUUCUCUGGUCUCCAUCUUUCUGUCCAGACUGCUGUGUGGUCUACUGGUGGUGUUUCCAUUUCUACUGGUGUCCAUCAUACUGAUGGUG